RNAcentral lists this ribosomal RNA (492 nucleotides) under uncultured bacterium. RNAcentral describes it as "partial 16S ribosomal RNA". It matches the Rfam family "Bacterial small subunit ribosomal RNA", at positions 29 to 507 of the family's 1533-position model. The record is from RNAcentral.
AGUGAACGCUGGCGGUAGGCCUAACACAUGCAAGUCGAACGGCAGCACAGUAAAAGCUUGCUCUUACGGGUGGCGAGUGGCGGACGGGUGAGGAAUACAUCGGAAUCUACUUUUUCGUGGGGGAUAACGUAGGGAAACUUACGCUAAUACCGCAUACGACCUACGGGUGAAAGCAGGGGAUCUUCGGACCUUGCGCGAAUGAAUGAGCCGAUGUCGGAUUAGCUAGUUGGCGGGGUAAAGGCCCACCAAGGCGACGAUCCGUAGCUGGUCUGAGAGGAUGAUCAGCCACACUGGAACUGAGACACGGUCCAGACUCCUACGGGAGGCAGCAGUGGGGAAUAUUGGACAAUGGGCGCAAGCCUGAUCCAGCCAUACCGCGUGGGUGAAGAAGGCCUUCGGGUUGUAAAGCCCUUUUGUUGGGAAAGAAAAGCAGCAGGUUAAUACCCCGCUGUUCUGACGGUACCCAAAGAAUAAGCACCGGCUAACUUCGUG